Molecule: ribosomal RNA, 270 nt
Filed under: uncultured bacterium
Lineage: Bacteria
Description: partial 16S ribosomal RNA
Rfam family: Bacterial small subunit ribosomal RNA
Source: RNAcentral
UGCAAGUCGAACGAAUCCUUACCUUCGGGUAAGAGAAUUAGUGGCAAACGGGUGAGUAAUACAGAGGAAUCUACCUAGCAGUAAGGAAUAACUCUGGGAAACCAGAGCUAAUGCCAUAUAUUACCCUCCGGGGGGAAAGAUUUUAUCGCUGUUAGAUGAGCCUCUGCCGGAUUAGCUAGUUGGUAGGGUAAUGGCCUACCAAGGCAAUGAUCCGUAGCUGGUCUGAGAGGAUGAUCAGCCACACUGGAACUGAGACACGGUCCAGACUCC